AGGUUCUGCCGGCAUUUGAACCCGGGAUCUCUCGCACCCUAAGCGAGAAUCAUACCCCUAGACCACCGAACC
RNAcentral lists this transfer RNA (72 nucleotides) under Araneus ventricosus. RNAcentral's name for it is "tRNA-Pro". The record is from RNAcentral. Lineage: Eukaryota; Metazoa; Arthropoda; Arachnida; Araneae; Araneidae.